UGAUUUGCAUCAAGAGUCGCCACUCGUUGUAGUUCGUUCGUGUCAACAUCGGAAAAACUAGUAACGCUGCGCUUGCCUCCUUCACCGCACGUUCCACCAUGACGCGACGCCCUUCACCGUCCUCGUCUGUCUUGUUGGUGCGAUCCUCCCGUGAAGGAGAAGUUGAUGUGGAGAGAGAGCCUAUUUUCGCCAUUAGUUCCAACCAGGCUCUGAUACCA
RNAcentral lists this long non-coding RNA (218 nucleotides) under Nicotiana benthamiana. Its description in RNAcentral is "long non-coding RNA (NBEN_LNC000558)". The record is from RNAcentral. Lineage: Eukaryota; Viridiplantae; Streptophyta; Magnoliopsida; Solanales; Solanaceae.